This 253-nucleotide ribosomal RNA is filed under the name uncultured bacterium. RNAcentral's name for it is "partial 16S ribosomal RNA". It matches the Rfam family "Bacterial small subunit ribosomal RNA", at positions 524 to 776 of the family's 1533-position model. The record is from RNAcentral.
UACGUAGGGUGCGAGCGUUGUCCGGAAUUACUGGGCGUAAAGAGUUCGUAGGCGGUUUGUCGCGUCGUUCGUGAAAACUUGGGGCUUAACUCCAAGCGUGCGGGCGAUACGGGCAGACUUGAGUACUACAGGGGAGACUGGAAUUCCUGGUGUAGCGGUGAAAUGCGCAGAUAUCAGGAGGAACACCGGUGGCGAAGGCGGGUCUCUGGGUAGUAACUGACGCUGAGGAACGAAAGCGUGGGUGGCGAACAGG